GUGCUCACUUCAGCAGCACAUAUACUAAAUAACACAGAGAAGAUUAGCAUGGCCCCUGCACAAAGAUGACAUGCAAAUUCGUGAAGCAUUCCAUAUUAAG
Molecule: small nuclear RNA, 100 nt
Filed under: Prolemur simus (greater bamboo lemur)
Lineage: Eukaryota; Metazoa; Chordata; Mammalia; Primates; Lemuridae
Source: RNAcentral